AUUGAACGCUGGCGGCAGGCCUAACACAUGCAAGUCGAACGAGUGGCGGACGGGUGAGUAAUGUCUGGGAACCUGCCUGAUGGAGGGGGAUAACUACUGGAAACGGUAGCUAAUACCGCAUACCAUCAGAUGUUCCCAGAUGGGAUUAGCUGGUUGGUGGGGUAACGGCUCACCAAGGCGACGAUCCCUAGCUGGUCUGAGAGGAUGACCGGCCACACUGGAACUGAGACACGGUCCAGACUCCUACGGGAGGCAGCAGUGGGGAAUAUUGCGCAAUGGGCGCAAGCCUGAUGCAGCCAUGCCGCGUGUAUGAAGAAGGCCUUCGGUUUGUAAAGUACUUUCAGCGGGGAGGCGGUACCCGAAGAGGAAGCAACGGCUAACUCCGUGCCAGCAGCCGCGGUAAUAC
This 406-nucleotide ribosomal RNA is filed under the name uncultured bacterium. Its description in RNAcentral is "partial 16S ribosomal RNA". It matches the Rfam family "Bacterial small subunit ribosomal RNA", at positions 30 to 526 of the family's 1533-position model. The record is from RNAcentral.